This 965-nucleotide ribosomal RNA is filed under the name Psychrobacter sp. 21F07-MB2-2. Its description in RNAcentral is "bacterial SSU rRNA". It matches the Rfam family "Bacterial small subunit ribosomal RNA", at positions 487 to 1451 of the family's 1533-position model. The record is from RNAcentral. Lineage: Bacteria; Pseudomonadati; Pseudomonadota; Gammaproteobacteria; Moraxellales; Moraxellaceae.
UAAGCACCGGCUAACUCUGUGCCAGCAGCCGCGGUAAUACAGAGGGUGCAAGCGUUAAUCGGAAUUACUGGGCGUAAAGCGAGCGUAGGUGGCUUGAUAAGUCAGAUGUGAAAUCCCCGGGCUUAACCUGGGAACUGCAUCUGAAACUGUUAGGCUAGAGUAGGUGAGAGGGAAGUAGAAUUUCAGGUGUAGCGGUGAAAUGCGUAGAGAUCUGAAGGAAUACCGAUGGCGAAGGCAGCUUCCUGGCAUCAUACUGACACUGAGGCUCGAAAGCGUGGGUAGCAAACAGGAUUAGAUACCCUGGUAGUCCACGCCGUAAACGAUGUCUACUAGUCGUUGGGUCCCUUGAGGACUUAGUGACGCAGCUAACGCAAUAAGUAGACCGCCUGGGGAGUACGGCCGCAAGGUUAAAACUCAAAUGAAUUGACGGGGGCCCGCACAAGCGGUGGAGCAUGUGGUUUAAUUCGAUGCAACGCGAAGAACCUUACCUGGUCUUGACAUAUCUAGAAUCCUGCAGAGAUGCGGGAGUGCCUUCGGGAAUUAGAAUACAGGUGCUGCAUGGCUGUCGUCAGCUCGUGUCGUGAGAUGUUGGGUUAAGUCCCGCAACGAGCGCAACCCUUGUCCUUAGUUACCAGCGGGUUAAGCCGGGAACUCUAAGGAUACUGCCAGUGACAAACUGGAGGAAGGCGGGGACGACGUCAAGUCAUCAUGGCCCUUACGACCAGGGCUACACACGUGCUACAAUGGUAGGUACAGAGGGCAGCUACACAGCGAUGUGAUGCGAAUCUCAAAAAGCCUAUCGUAGUCCAGAUUGGAGUCUGCAACUCGACUCCAUGAAGUAGGAAUCGCUAGUAAUCGCGGAUCAGAAUGCCGCGGUGAAUACGUUCCCGGGCCUUGUACACACCGCCCGUCACACCAUGGGAGUUGAUUGCACCAGAAGUGGAUAGCUUAACCUUCGGGGAGGC